RNAcentral lists this small nuclear RNA (110 nucleotides) under Salvator merianae (Argentine black and white tegu). RNAcentral describes it as "U1 spliceosomal RNA (ENSSMRG00000001290.1)". It matches the Rfam family "U1 spliceosomal RNA". From Rfam's summary of the family: U1 is a small nuclear RNA (snRNA) component of the spliceosome (involved in pre-mRNA splicing). Its 5' end forms complementary base pairs with the 5' splice junction, thus defining the 5' donor site of an intron. Lineage: Eukaryota; Metazoa; Chordata; Lepidosauria; Squamata; Teiidae. The record is from RNAcentral.
AUACUUAUCUGGCAGGGGAGACACCAAGAUCGUGAAAGUGGUUUUCCCAGGGUGUGGCUCAUCCAUUGCACUCUGGGUGUGCUGACAUUCUACAGCUUAACAUCUGUUCC